Molecule: unclassified non-coding RNA, 511 nt
Filed under: uncultured Glomus
Lineage: Eukaryota; Fungi; Glomeromycota; Glomeromycetes; Glomerales; Glomeraceae
Description: SSU rRNA
Rfam family: Eukaryotic small subunit ribosomal RNA
Source: RNAcentral
AGCAGCCGCGGUAAUUCCAGCUCCGAUAGCGUAUAUUAAAGUUGUUGCAGUUAAAAAGCUCGUAGUUGAAUUUCGGGAUCAAUACGUCGGUCGUGCUUCGGUACGUACUGGUGUCAUUGAUUUCUCCUUCUGACGAACCAUGAUGUCAUUAACUUGGUGUCAUGGGAAAUCAGGACUGUUACUUUGAAAAAUUGAGUGUUUAAAGCAGGCUCGCGCUUGAAUACAUUAGCAUGGAAUAAUGAAAUAGGACGUUUGAUUCUAUUUUGUUGGUUUCUAGGAUCGACGUAAUGAUUAAUAGGGAUAGUUGGGGGCAUUAGUAUUCAAUUGUCAGAGGUGAAAUUCUUGGAUUUAUUGAAGACUAACUACUGCGAAAGCAUUUGCCAAGGAUGUUUUCAUUAAUCAAGAACGAAAGUUAGGGGAUCGAAGACGAUCAGAUACCGUCGUAGUCUUAACCAUAAACUAUGCCGACUAGGGAUCGGAUGAUGUUAAUUUUAAUGACUCAUUCGGUACG